RNAcentral lists this ribosomal RNA (1246 nucleotides) under Pantoea agglomerans. RNAcentral describes it as "bacterial SSU rRNA". It matches the Rfam family "Bacterial small subunit ribosomal RNA", at positions 86 to 1329 of the family's 1533-position model. Lineage: Bacteria; Pseudomonadati; Pseudomonadota; Gammaproteobacteria; Enterobacterales; Erwiniaceae. The record is from RNAcentral.
GGGUGACNAGUGGCGGACGGGUAUAAUNUCUGGGGAUCUGCCCGAUAGAGGGGGAUAACCACUGGAAACGGUGGCUAAUACCGCAUAACGUCGCAAGACCAAAGAGGGGGACCUUCGGGCCUCUCACUAUCGGAUGAACCCAGAUGGGAUUAGCUAGUAGGCGGGGUAAUGGCCCACCUAGGCGACGAUCCCUAGCUGGUCUGAGAGGAUGACCAGCCACACUGGAACUGAGACACGGUCCAGACUCCUACGGGAGGCAGCAGUGGGGAAUAUUGCACAAUGGGCGCAAGCCUGAUGCAGCCAUGCCGCGUGUAUGAAGAAGGCCUUCGGGUUGUAAAGUACUUUCAGCGGGGAGGAAGGCGACGGGGUUAAUAACCGCGUCGAUUGACGUUACCCGCAGAAGAAGCACCGGCUAACUCCGUGCCAGCAGCCGCGGUAAUACGGAGGGUGCAAGCGUUAAUCGGAAUUACUGGGCGUAAAGCGCACGCAGGCGGUCUGUUAAGUCAGAUGUGAAAUCCCCGGGCUUAACCUGGGAACUGCAUUUGAAACUGGCAGGCUUGAGUCUUGUAGAGGGGGGUAGAAUUCCAGGUGUAGCGGUGAAAUGCGUAGAGAUCUGGAGGAAUACCGGUGGCGAAGGCGGCCCCCUGGACAAAGACUGACGCUCAGGUGCGAAAGCGUGGGGAGCAAACAGGAUUAGAUACCCUGGUAGUCCACGCCGUAAACGAUGUCGACUUGGAGGUUGUUCCCUUGAGGAGUGGCUUCCGGAGCUAACGCGUUAAGUCGACCGCCUGGGGAGUACGGCCGCAAGGUUAAAACUCAAAUGAAUUGACGGGGGCCCGCACAAGCGGUGGAGCAUGUGGUUUAAUUCGAUGCAACGCGAAGAACCUUACCUACUCUUGACAUCCACGGAAUUUGCCAGAGAUGCCUUAGUGCCUUCGGGAACCGUGAGACAGGUGCUGCAUGGCUGUCGUCAGCUCGUGUUGUGAAAUGUUGGGUUAAGUCCCGCAACGAGCGCAACCCUUAUCCUUUGUUGCCAGCGAUUCGGUCGGGAACUCAAAGGAGACUGCCGGUGAUAAACCGGAGGAAGGUGGGGGAUGACGUCAAGUCAUCAUGGCCCUUUACGAGUAGGGCUACACACGUGCUACAAUGGCGCAUACAAAAGAGAAGCGACCUCGCGAGAGCAAGCGGACUCACAAAGUGCGUCGUAGUCCGGAUCGGAGUCUGCAACUCGACUCCGUGAAGUCGG